RNAcentral lists this ribosomal RNA (220 nucleotides) under uncultured bacterium. Its description in RNAcentral is "partial 16S ribosomal RNA". It matches the Rfam family "Bacterial small subunit ribosomal RNA", at positions 116 to 334 of the family's 1533-position model. RNAcentral also lists the same sequence under 1 other name. The record is from RNAcentral.
CGUGAGCAACCUGCCUUUCAGAGGGGGAUAACAUUUGGAAACAGAUGCUAAUACCGCAUAAGAUUACAGUACCGCAUGAUACAGUGAUCAAAGGAGCAAUCCGCUGAAAGAUGGGCUCGCGUCCGAUUAGAUAGUUGGUGAGGUAACGGCUCACCAAGUCGACGAUCGGUAGCCGGACUGAGAGGUUGAACGGCCACAUUGGGACUGAGACACGGCCCAG